GGGUUGUGAGGUUAAGCGACUAAGCGUACACGGUGGAUGCCCUGGCAGUCAGAGGCGAUGAAGGACGUGCUAAUCUGCGAUAAGCGCCGGUAAGGUGAUAUGAACCGUUAUAACCGGCGAUUUCCGAAUGGGGAAACCCAGUGUGACUCGUCACACUAUCAUUAACUGAAUCCAUAGGUUAAUGAGGCGAACCGGGGGAACUGAAACAUCUAAGUACCCCGAGGAAAAGAAAUCAACCGAGAUUCCCCCAGUAGCGGCGAGCGAACGGGGAGGAGCCCAGAGCCUGAAUCAGCAUGUGUGUUAGUGGAAGCGUCUGGAAAGGCGCGCGAUACAGGGUGACAGCCCCGUACACAAAAGCGCAUGUGCUGUGAGCUCGAUGAGUAGGGCGGGACACGUGGUAUCCUGUCUGAAUAUGGGGGGACCAUCCUCCAAGGCUAAAUACUCCUGACUGACCGAUAGUGAACCAGUACCGUGAGGGAAAGGCGAAAAGAACCCCGGCGAGGGGAGUGAAAAAGAACCUGAAACCGUGUACGUACAAGCAGUGGGAGCACCCUUUGGGGUGUGACUGCGUACCUUUUGUAUAAUGGGUCAGCGACUUAUAUUCUGUAGCAAGGUUAACCGUAUAGGGGAGCCGUAGGGAAACCGAGUCUUAACCGGGCGUUAAGUUGCAGGGUAUAGACCCGAAACCCGGUGAUCUAGCCAUGGGCAGGUUGAAGGUUGGGUAACACUAACUGGAGGACCGAACCGACUAAUGUUGAAAAAUUAGCGGAUGACCUGUGGCUGGGGGUGAAAGGCCAAUCAAACCGGGAGAUAGCUGGUUCUCCCCGAAAGCUAUUUAGGUAGCGCCUCGUGAAUUCAUCUCCGGGGGUAGAGCACUGUUUCGGCUAGGGGGCCAUCCCGGCUUACCAACCCGAUGCAAACUGCGAAUACCGGAGAAUGUUAUCACGGGAGACACACGGCGGGUGCUAACGUCCGUCGUGAAGAGGGAAACAACCCAGACCGCCAGCUAAGGUCCCAAAGUCAUGGUUAAGUGGGAAACGAUGUGGGAAGGCCCAGACAGCCAGGAUGUUGGCUUAGAAGCAGCCAUCAUUUAAAGAAAGCGUAAUAGCUCACUGGUCGAGUCGGCCUGCGCGGAAGAUGUAACGGGGCUAAACCAUGCACCGAAGCUGCGGCAGCGACACUGUGUGUUGUUGGGUAGGGGAGCGUUCUGUAAGCCUGUGAAGGUGUGUCGUGAGGCAUGCUGGAGGUAUCAGAAGUGCGAAUGCUGACAUAAGUAACGAUAAAGCGGGUGAAAAGCCCGCUCGCCGGAAGACCAAGGGUUCCUGUCCAACGUUAAUCGGGGCAGGGUGAGUCGACCCCUAAGGCGAGGCCGAAAGGCGUAGUCGAUGGGAAACGGGUUAAUAUUCCCGUACUUGGUGUUACUGCGAAGGGGGGACGGAGAAGGCUAUGUUGGCCGGGCGACGGUUGUCCCGGUUUAAGCGUGUAGGUGUGUGUUCCAGGUAAAUCCGGUUCACUUUAACACUGAGGCGUGACGACGAGGCACUACGGUGCUGAAGCAACAAAUGCCCUGCUUCCAGGAAAAGCCUCUAAGCAUCAGGUAACAUCAAAUCGUACCCCAAACCGACACAGGUGGUCAGGUAGAGAAUACCAAGGCGCUUGAGAGAACUCGGGUGAAGGAACUAGGCAAAAUGGUGCCGUAACUUCGGGAGAAGGCACGCUGACACGUAGGUGAAGUGAUUUACUCAUGGAGCUGAAGUCAGUCGAAGAUACCAGCUGGCUGCAACUGUUUAUUAAAAACACAGCACUGUGCAAACACGAAAGUGGACGUAUACGGUGUGACGCCUGCCCGGUGCCGGAAGGUUAAUUGAUGGGGUCAGCGCAAGCGAAGCUCCUGAUCGAAGCCCCGGUAAACGGCGGCCGUAACUAUAACGGUCCUAAGGUAGCGAAAUUCCUUGUCGGGUAAGUUCCGACCUGCACGAAUGGCGUAAUGAUGGCCAGGCUGUCUCCACCCGAGACUCAGUGAAAUUGAACUCGCUGUGAAGAUGCAGUGUACCCGCGGCAAGACGGAAAGACCCCGUGAACCUUUACUAUAGCUUGACACUGAACAUUGAGCCUUGAUGUGUAGGAUAGGUGGGAGGCUUUGAAGUGUGGACGCCAGUCUGCAUGGAGCCGACCUUGAAAUACCACCCUUUAAUGUUUGAUGUUCUAACGUGGACCCGUUACCCGGGUUGCGGACAGUGUCUGGUGGGUAGUUUGACUGGGGCGGUCUCCUCCUAAAGAGUAACGGAGGAGCACGAAGGUUGGCUAAUCCUGGUCGGACAUCAGGAGGUUAGUGCAAUGGCAUAAGCCAGCUUGACUGCGAGCGUGACGGCGCGAGCAGGUGCGAAAGCAGGUCAUAGUGAUCCGGUGGUUCUGAAUGGAAGGGCCAUCGCUCAACGGAUAAAAGGUACUCCGGGGAUAACAGGCUGAUACCGCCCAAGAGUUCAUAUCGACGGCGGUGUUUGGCACCUCGAUGUCGGCUCAUCACAUCCUGGGGCUGAAGUAGGUCCCAAGGGUAUGGCUGUUCGCCAUUUAAAGUGGUACGCGAGCUGGGUUUAGAACGUCGUGAGACAGUUCGGUCCCUAUCUGCCGUGGGCGCUGGAGAACUGAGGGGGGCUGCUCCUAGUACGAGAGGACCGGAGUGGACGCAUCACUGGUGUUCGGGUUGUCAUGCCAAUGGCACUGCCCGGUAGCUAAAUGCGGAAGAGAUAAGUGCUGAAAGCAUCUAAGCACGAAACUUGCCCCGAGAUGAGUUCUCCCUGAGACUUAGAGUCUCCUGAAGGAACGUUGAAGACGACGACGUUGAUAGGCCGGGUGUGUAAGCGCAGCGAUGCGUUGAGCUAACCGGUACUAAUGAACCGUGAGGCUUAACCUUACAACGCCGAAG
Molecule: ribosomal RNA, 2926 nt
Filed under: Salmonella enterica subsp. enterica serovar Crossness str. 1422-74
Lineage: Bacteria; Pseudomonadati; Pseudomonadota; Gammaproteobacteria; Enterobacterales; Enterobacteriaceae
Description: bacterial LSU rRNA
Rfam family: Bacterial large subunit ribosomal RNA
Source: RNAcentral